GCGCCUGUAGCUCAGCCGGAUAGAGCAUCUGCCUUCUAAGCAGGUUGUCGGGGGUUCGAAUCUCUCCAGGCGCG
RNAcentral lists this transfer RNA (74 nucleotides) under Dehalobacter sp. CF. RNAcentral's name for it is "tRNA-Arg". It matches the Rfam family "tRNA". Rfam says of the family: Transfer RNA (tRNA) molecules are approximately 80 nucleotides in length. Their secondary structure includes four short double-helical elements and three loops (D, anti-codon, and T loops). The record is from RNAcentral. Lineage: Bacteria; Bacillati; Bacillota; Clostridia; Eubacteriales; Desulfitobacteriaceae. RNAcentral also lists the same sequence under 2 other names.